This 657-nucleotide ribosomal RNA is filed under the name uncultured bacterium. RNAcentral describes it as "bacterial SSU rRNA". It matches the Rfam family "Bacterial small subunit ribosomal RNA", at positions 821 to 1500 of the family's 1533-position model. The record is from RNAcentral.
UGUAUUAGGUAUCGACCCCUGAUGUAGCGAAGCUAACGCGUUAAGCAUCCCGCCUGUGGAGUACGGUCGCAAGAGAUAAAACAUAAAGGAAUUGACGGGGACCCGCACAAGCGGUGGAGCGUGUUGUUUAAUUCGAUGAUAAGCGAAGAACCUUACCCAGGCUUGACAUCCUUGGAAUCUUUCCGAAAGGAAAGAGUGCUUUUAGAGCCAAGUGACAGGUGUUGCAUGGCCGUCGUCAGCUCGUGUCGUGAGAUGUUUGGUUAAGUCCAUCAACGAGCGCAACCCUUGUGAUUAGUUGAAUUUUUCUAAUCAGACUGCCCCUGGUAACAGGGAGGAAGGAGGGGAUGAUGUCAGGUCAGUAUUACCCUUACGCCUGGGGCUACAAACACGCUACAAUGGCCGGUACAAAGGGCUGCCAAGUCGCGAGACGGAGCAAAUCCCAUCAAAGCCGGUCCCAGUUCGGAUUGCAGGCUGAAACUCGCCUGCAUGAAGUCGGAAUCGCUAGUAACGGUAGGUCAGCUAUACUANCCGUGAAUACGUUCCCGGGUCUUGUACACACCGCCCGUCAAACCAUGAAAGUCGCCAAUACCUGACGUGCCAGCUUGCCUGGCCCCAAGGUAGGGGAGAUGAUUGGGGUUAAGUCGUAACCAAGGUACC